Molecule: ribosomal RNA, 451 nt
Filed under: uncultured bacterium
Lineage: Bacteria
Description: partial 16S ribosomal RNA
Rfam family: Bacterial small subunit ribosomal RNA
Source: RNAcentral
GUGGGGAAUAUUGGACAAUGGGGGGAACCCUGAUCCAGCCAUGCCGCGUGUGUGAAGAAGGCCUUUUGGUUGUAAAGCACUUUAAGCGAGGAGGAGGCUACCGAGAUUAAUACUCUUGGAUAGUGGACGUUACUCGCAGAAUAAGCACCGGCUAACUCUGUGCCAGCAGCCGCGGUAAUACAGAGGGUGCAAGCGUUAAUCGGAUUUACUGGGCGUAAAGCGCGCGUAGGUGGCCAAUUAAGUCAAAUGUGAAAUCCCCGAGCUUAACUUGGGAAUUGCAUUCGAUACUGGUUGGCUAGAGUAUUGGAGAGGAUGGUAGAAUUCCAGGUGUAGCGGUGAAAUGCGUAGAGAUCUGGAGGAAUACCGAUGGCGAAGGCAGCCAUCUGGCCUAAUACUGACACUGAGGUGCGAAAGCAUGGGGAGCAAACAGGAUUAGAUACCCUAGUAGUCC